GUGCUCACUUCAAUAGCACGCACACUAAAAUUGGAACAAUACAGAGCAGAUCAGCAUGGCCUUGUGCAAGGAUGAUACAUGAAUUCACUAAGUGUCCUGUAUUUUU
Small nuclear RNA from Psammomys obesus (fat sand rat), 106 nucleotides. Lineage: Eukaryota; Metazoa; Chordata; Mammalia; Rodentia; Muridae. The record is from RefSeq and is a predicted model, not a curated record.